AAAUGGCCAGUAACAGCAGAUCGGCCACUGUGAUCGGGCGAGGGGUGAGCGCCUCGACCCGCGGCAACUGCCUUGGGUGAGCGAGGGAGUAGGAUGCGGGUGGGAUAAGGACACGGGUGGCAGUAGGACACUCCUUGUCAGGGGCACGGGGGGCACAGGGACCCUGGUUGUCAGGGAUGAAGGUGGCAGAGGGACACGGGUGGGAUACAGAGGCAGGUGGCACAGGGACAUAGGUUGUGAGGGCUGCAGGUGGCACAGGGCACGGGUGAGAUAAGGACUCGGGUGGCCUAGCCAUGGCAGUGCCGGGCCCAUACUGCUGCCCUUGGUGCUGCCCUGCGUGGUGCUGCAGGGAUCGCUGCUGGGAGCACGGGGUCCUAGUGUGCGAUGCGACCCUGCCAGCCCACAUCGCUCCUGUCUUUGUGUGGCCCGCACGGCAAAAUGGCCUCUACAGUGGCCCAACCGCAGGAAUUCAGCCGUGCUGAGAGAACCCGUCCUGCUGCUACUGCCUCUGGUGAGCUUGGGAGGAGGAUGGGAUCGGCUCUUCCUGCCACUAACAGUGCUGUGACCAUUGUGCCCCAGCAGAGCUCCACCGCAGACCAUGCGUCACCGGCACCCGCUGCCACAGGACCGGAGCCCUGAGGACAUCUUUGCCCCGAAGAGGAUGUGCGUGAGGGAGUGCCCGCAGUCCGGCAAAGGAUCCUGCUGCCAAGUGCCACGUUGGAUGGGAAGGUAACGUACUGCUCAUCCAGCCAGUGCCUGCUUGUCAGUGCCAGACAGGAAGAAAGCAGCCGCCUUCCCAGCUCACCUGGUGCCCAAGGCCUGCUCUCCACCGGAGCUGGGAUAUUCCAGGCCCGCGAGACAUGGCUGCUGGGUCAGCCAGUGGUGGGGAAGCCCCCUUGUUGGGUCCGUCAGCAUCCCCGCUGCCUUGUUCCACAGCGGUGCUGGCGGCAGCGCUGACCGGCACCAUCCCUGCCCUGUGCCCAGGCUGGGUUGGAGCUUGAAGGGCUCAGACGGCUGUAGCGGUGACUUUGCCGUGUGGCGCUGGCAUGUCCUGUCCCAGCCUGGCGCUGACCCUAACUGGCUCUCUCCCACUUGCACAGAGCAUGGGAAUCGCUGCCACGGGAAGACAGCACUCCGGGAAGAGCGAGCAAGGCUGUGCAGACCGAGGAAGGUGAGUGUAGGUGGGGCCCAGCUCUGUGCCGGGCUCGGAUGGGCCACUGGUGCAGGUGUGCUCCAAUGCCAGGCGCAGCUCAUUCCAACAGUUCCUCAGCUGAAAGAGAGAGGAAACCCCGUGUGCCCAUCGCGGAGAGGGUCCCGUGGCACAGUGCGAGAUGUGGCCACCACGUGUGGCAGCUUGUGUGCUUUGUGGUUCGGGUGGGCAGCGUGCAAGGAGCGUCUGUGGAGGUGGGAAGGGGCCGCUGGCCCAUGGAGCCCCAGCGGGCUCUUGUGAGAGCUUCCCCCUGGAUCUCUUGUGGCCAGCUGCUGCCCCAGGGCAUCGCAGCCUUGUCCGCGGCUUAAGGCCGUGCCCCUGGCUCUGCCCUCCAAGACGGGCAUCCAGAGAGGAGUGAGAAGGGACAACCCCCUCGGUAGAGGCCAAGCGCCCCUGCUGGGAGCUGCUCCUGACUUGUCUCCUCCUGUAGCUGUCGAGAGGCCUGAGGAGGAGCGGCGGCAGUCCCCGAGCCCACCACCAUCGCUGGGGAAAGGAAGGCCACGCAGGAGGAGCAUCUGCCUGCUGGUGCCUGGCGACAUCCACCCACUGGUGCUGUUCCCUGAGCUUAACCCAGAGUACCCCACCGCCGACAUGAUCCUGGAGGAGGAGGGGGAGGCAGCAUGGCAGCGCUCUCGACGGCUCUUGGGAGCUAAGGCUGGUAAGGGCAGAGGGGGAAUGCCAAGGGCACGGCAAGGGGGAGAAAGCCAUGGCCCGGGCUGGCAGGGCAGUGGGCGCCUGUGUAGCACAGGCUGAGGAAGCUCCUGGGCCAGUGCUGCAUCGGCUCCGAUGCUCUCAGAGACUUGUGAA
Molecule: long non-coding RNA, 2017 nt
Organism: Neopsephotus bourkii (Bourke's parrot)
Lineage: Eukaryota; Metazoa; Chordata; Aves; Psittaciformes; Psittacidae
Exons: 3
Source: RefSeq, a predicted model, not a curated record